AUGUGGAGUCUGGAAUCUGAAAGAGAAACUGAACUAACAACCUCUGGGGAAGUGGAUAAACCAAUGUCUAAUUCAGAGAACCUGCUGCAUGUUCAAGAAAUAGUGUCAACCCCAAAGACAAGAUCUACCAUGCACACAUGGGAACAAGAGUCCACCUACCCCCCAGCUGAGUCUCAUCCAACCUUAGCCAUGUGGGAUCUAGAAUCUGAAAGAGAAACAGAGCCAAUAACUGCUGGGGACAUGAAUAAACCAACGCCUAAUCUAGAGAUCCUGCAGCAUGUUCAGGAUAUGGUAUCAACCCAAAAGUCAAGGUUAACCAUGCACAAAUGGGAACAAGAGCCCACCUCCCCCUCAGCUGAGUCUCAGCCAUUCUCAUCCUUGGGGGAUCUGGAAUAUGAAAGUGAAACAGAACCAAGCAUUGCUGGGGACAUGGAUAAACCAACGCCUAAUCUAGAAAUCAUGCAGCAUGUUCAAGGGAUGAAAUCAACAACACCAGAGACCAGGUCAAUCAUACAAAUAUGGGGACAAGAGCCCAACUAUCCCUCAACUGAAUCUCAGCCAUCCUCAGCUAUGUGGAAUUUGGACUCUGAAAAAGAAAGAGAGCUAACGACCACCAAAGACUUGGAUAAAUCAGUGCCUAAUCUAGGGAUCCUGCAACAUGUUCAGGAGAUUGCAUCAACACAUCCGUCAAAGACAAGCCCAUCCACACAUGAGCAGGUACAAGCUGUGCAGGAUUUGAAGUCUGAGGGAGAACAUAAGCCAACAAGCUCAUCAGUAACAGUCCUGCCAAUAGUUACACAAGACCUAAAGCCUACAGCAGAAAUGCCACCAACUAUCUCUUGGGACCGUAUAUCUGAAGUGCCCCCAGUUAUCCAGGACACAAAACCCACCAGGUCCUUAGCUGAAGUUCAGCCUACAGCUGCCACAUGGGACCCAGAACCUGGGAAAGAGAGGGAAGCAACCAGCCAUGUAAUAAAGGAACUAUUCCUGUUCUCAAAGAGCCUGGAGACUACAAAGGAGAAGGAAUUGCCAACAGUUGCACAGAAUGUAUUAUCUAUAACACAGAUGGGAACAAUUGAUCCCAACAUUCUAGACUCUGAGAAGAACAUAGAUAAGAAGCAUCAAGAGGAA
RNAcentral lists this long non-coding RNA (1131 nucleotides) under Varanus komodoensis (Komodo dragon). RNAcentral describes it as "lncRNA (ENSVKKG00000002454.1)". The record is from RNAcentral. Lineage: Eukaryota; Metazoa; Chordata; Lepidosauria; Squamata; Varanidae.